UGCAAAAUUUUCUUUGGAUUCUAUAGAAAUUGGUCCUUGAGUGUAAAGAUAGAAUGGAGCUUGAUUGCAAGACCCAACGAUCGAGGAUAGAAGUCAACUUUAAU
RNAcentral lists this ribosomal RNA (104 nucleotides) under Olea europaea subsp. europaea. RNAcentral describes it as "PK-G12rRNA". The record is from RNAcentral. Lineage: Eukaryota; Viridiplantae; Streptophyta; Magnoliopsida; Lamiales; Oleaceae.